Molecule: long non-coding RNA, 1192 nt
Filed under: Numida meleagris (helmeted guineafowl)
Lineage: Eukaryota; Metazoa; Chordata; Aves; Galliformes; Numididae
Description: lncRNA (ENSNMEG00000018986.1)
Source: RNAcentral
AGUGGCCUCAACUUCUCCUCUUCAGACAUGCAGAAUCUUCAGUACGAUGGCAGUGAGUGGCCAAAGCACAGCUGCUGGUAUGUACAUGGUGACUAAAGCCUUGUGAGAUGGAUAUAGUAUGCUAAACAAAAGAAGGUUUUUCUUAAAGAUGCUUAAGACCGGCACAUGCUACUGGCAGCCAAGAGGAAAUACAAUAUAACGUGUCUGCUGGGAAACUUGAAGUAGCCUCAUACUAAGCAAAAAGAGAAGUAAUCAAUCCACAUUUACAGUUCCAAUGUUGAGUAAAUCUCUGCUAGCAAACAAUGAUAUUUUCACCCCUUUCUUCACACUGCUCCUCUCUUAGGAGAAUAGCUAGCACUUAUUGAUUAUUAUCAGAGGACAUUAAAGAAAUACAGCCACAACCUCAACAGGGAACACUUGCUUGUUUUUUUCUCCAAGAGCUAGAUUCUGAAAAUACCAUAUGAGGGCUCAUUUGCAGAAUGUGUGGUUUUUUCUACCCAGGACUAUGCAGGAAGAGCCAUUUGAAGACAGCAGAUUUUGAGGCAUGAAGCAAGCUGGCUAGCAUCAGUGAAGCUGUGAUGGAGAUGGCUGCACAUGGGAGCGGUAAAUACCAUCCAUAUGCACCGCAAUUCAUCCCAGCGCAGCAAGAUGUGUCAAUGCAUGGCAGAUGUUAUGUUAAUAUGUUCAAUGUAUGCCUUGUAUCUCCACCAAGUGAGGACGCAGCAUGAAAAAAGAAAAAAGUGGCUUCAGCUUAAUAAUCAACUUGGGCAGAGGGGCAGGCAGGCAAGAUACUUAAAAACCAUUUAUAUCUUUAACCUUUAAGUCACUGAUUGCAAUGUAGACAGCAACAGGAGGGAGGAACUUAAAUCUUGGAACAUAACACAGGUAGAUGUCUUAAUCUGGAUCUGAAGUGUAAAGAAAAAAUGUGUCCCUGCAAAUCCGUGUGUUAGUACCUGGAACCCUGCUGUGGCUAUGAACCAUGCAGCAACAGCAGCAAAAAUGUUGGCACCCUAAAAAGAGCCCACUGUUAAACUUAACAGUGUACAAGCAAAUGUCAAACAGAUGGUGAAAGCACAAGGGAGCUAUGAACACCAGUAUAAGCAGUGGCCACAAGAUACCGAAACUGUCAGGUUCUUUGCUGGCACCACAGCAGAGAUGUUUUUGAGAAGAUGCGCAUAGAGGUCUUCUAAUU